RNAcentral lists this ribosomal RNA (198 nucleotides) under uncultured bacterium. RNAcentral's name for it is "partial 16S ribosomal RNA". It matches the Rfam family "Bacterial small subunit ribosomal RNA", at positions 328 to 539 of the family's 1533-position model. The record is from RNAcentral.
ACGCUCGACACCUACGGAGGCAGCAGUCGGGAAUAUUGCGCAAUGGAGGAAACUCUGACGCAGUGACGCCGCGUAUAGGAAGAAGGUUUUCGGAUUGUAAACUAUUGUCGUUAGGGAAGAAAAAGGACAGUACCUAAGGAGGAAGCUCCGGCUAACUACGUGUCAGCAGCCGCGGUAAUCUGAGCGGGCUGGCAAGGC